GUAACAUUUGUAAAGUCGUGUUAUCCUUUGGCUCGAAGAAGAUGGAGGGACAGGACUUGAAAGUGCAGUAUGUAUUCGUUGCAACUGUAAUGAAAGACAUCAAAUCACCUUGGCGUUGGCAAAUAUUUCUUGUUUACGAUUUGGCUAAUGAGCCGUCCUGGCAACAAAUGAAGCAAUAACUAAAACCAGGAAAGUGACCUGUUUUCCCCAGAAGAAUGACUGGCAUUGCGAAGGUUCCAUCAUUGAUCUUACAUGUUGCACGUGAUAGAGAAAACCUUUAGACUUACAUGUUAAAUAUUUGUCUGUAACGAUUAAAUUGGCACUACGACCCAUAAAAUGGCGUAGCAAUGUUACAACGUACCAGGAAAGCUGACCAGUUCCUCAAACACAGAAGACGUCUCUUUUUUCUUUUUAUUAAAUCACGACUUUCUUUGCCGA
Dermacentor andersoni is the source of this 438-nucleotide long non-coding RNA. RefSeq lists it as uncharacterized. The record is from RefSeq and is a predicted model, not a curated record. NCBI's taxonomy places the organism in Eukaryota, Metazoa, Arthropoda, Arachnida, Ixodida, Ixodidae.